This 707-nucleotide ribosomal RNA is filed under the name uncultured bacterium. RNAcentral describes it as "bacterial SSU rRNA". The stretch from base 1 to 590 matches the Rfam family "Bacterial small subunit ribosomal RNA", at positions 338 to 873 of the family's 1533-position model. The record is from RNAcentral.
CCUACGGGAGGCAGCAGUAAGGAAUAUUGGACAAUGGAGGCAACUCUGAUCCAGCCAUGCCGCGUGAAGGAUGAAGGCGCUCAGCGUUGUAAACUUCUUUUGGAUGGGAACAAAAACUCCGAUGCGUCGGAGCCUGAGGGUACCAUCAGAAUAAGCACCGGCUAACUCCGUGCCAGCAGCCGCGGUAAUACGGAGGGUGCAAGCGUUAUCCGGAAUCACUGGGUUUAAAGGGUGCGUAGGCGGCUCGAUAAGUCAGUCGUGAAAUUCCCCGGCUUAACCGGAGGGACUGCGAUUGAUACUGUUGAACUUGAAUCAGGUUGAGGUAGGCGGAAUGUGGCAUGUAGCGGUGAAAUGCUUAGAUAUGCCAUAGAACACCGAUUGCGAAGGCAGCUUGCUGGACCUGUAUUGACGCUGAGGCACGAAAGCGUGGGGAGCAAACGAGGUAUUAGACUACCCGUGGUACGUCCCGACCGACCCGUAAACCGUAACGUUACGUUUACGUUUACGUCGUUGUUGGUCCGGGUUCCGGUUUCCGGUACGUUGGUCGGUCGGGUCGGAACGGACGGAAACGGACGAAGUAAACGUAAACCGUAACCGGUACGGGGUACGGGUUACGGCCGGUACCGAACGGGUUACGGUAACGUUAACGAAAGGAAGUUAGGACGGCGAGGAGACGACGACCGACGGACGACGACGGAGGGAGGAGG